This 728-nucleotide ribosomal RNA is filed under the name uncultured soil bacterium. RNAcentral's name for it is "bacterial SSU rRNA". It matches the Rfam family "Bacterial small subunit ribosomal RNA", at positions 42 to 769 of the family's 1533-position model. The record is from RNAcentral.
GCGUGCUUUACACAUGCAAGUCGAGCGAGGCCACCCGCAAGGGUGAGUCGAGCGGCGAACGGGUGAGUAACGCGUGGAUGACCUGCCCUUGAAUGGGGAAUAACCCGGGGAAACUCGGGCUAAUACCGCAUACGACCGAGAGGUGAAAGGGGGCUCGCAAGGGCUCUCGUUCGAGGAGGGGUCCGCGUUCGAUUAGCUAGUUGGUAGGGUAAUGGCCUACCAAGGCGACGAUCGAUAGCCGGCCUGAGAGGGUGAUCGGCCACACUGGAACUGAGACACGGUCCAGACUCCUACGGGAGGCAGCAGUGGGGAAUUUUGCGCAAUGGGCGAGAGCCUGACGCAGCAACGCCGCGUGGAGGAUGAAGGUCUUUGGAUUGUAAACUCCUGUCAGCGGGGAAAAAGCGACUCGACCUAAUACGUCGGGGAGUUGAUUGUACCCGCAGAGGAAGCCCCGGCUAACUCUGUGCCAGCAGCCGCGGUAAUACAGAGGGGGCGAGCGUUAUUCGGAAUUAUUGGGCGUAAAGGGCGCGUAGGCGGCGUUUCAAGUGACGGGUGAAAUCCCUCGGCUUAACCGAGGAACUGCCUGUCAGACUGGAAGGCUUGAGACCGGGAGAGGUGAGUGGAAUUCCCAGUGUAGCGGUGAAAUGCGUAGAUAUUGGGAGGAACACCAGUGGCGAAGGCGGCUCACUGGACCGGUACUGACGCUGAGGCGCGAAAGCGUGGGGAGC